RNAcentral lists this microRNA precursor (52 nucleotides) under Notamacropus eugenii (tammar wallaby). Its description in RNAcentral is "miRNA (ENSMEUG00000017860.1)". The record is from RNAcentral. Lineage: Eukaryota; Metazoa; Chordata; Mammalia; Diprotodontia; Macropodidae.
GUGUGUGUGUGUGUGUGUGUGUGUGUGUGUGUGCCCAAGCACACGCUCAUGC